RNAcentral lists this long non-coding RNA (212 nucleotides) under Elaeis guineensis (African oil palm). RNAcentral's name for it is "long non-coding RNA (EGUI_LNC070262)". The record is from RNAcentral. Lineage: Eukaryota; Viridiplantae; Streptophyta; Magnoliopsida; Arecales; Arecaceae.
CCGAGCAUACACAGGAUGUACCAGUCUUACUGAAAAUAUUGAUCCCCUACUUAAUGUUCCAUCGACUAGGAAUAUUUAAAAUUAGAGUUUUAAGGUUUUAGGUCUCACUUGGUAUGAUCGCAUCAUAAUCCUAAAACCAUAGCCCUAAUUUAUGGGGUUCAUCAAAAUAAGAUGCAGCAUAUGAUGAACUAAAUGCCUUUAUUUAUUUAAAA